GCUCCUCUUGCAGUGUCUUGCUUUUAACUGAUCAGGCCACAGUCAGGCAACAACUGGGCUGCAAACCUCUUCCCGUUCUGCAUGUUGAUGUUCUCGUAUGCAGCUGUAGAGUGAGGUGUGGUAGUGUUGAUAGUGCCAUACUCGUUUGGUUCACCCAUGUCUACUCUUCUUCCCAAUUGAAUGUUUUGGUUUGGGAGGAAAGUUUGAUGGGUUCCUGAUAAGGAGAGGUUUUCACAGUGUGGGAGACCAAGGGUGAGAGAAACACCAUUGCCUGAAAACCUUGGAGUGAACUGCUCGGCAUCAAACCGUCCAAUUUCCCCAAGUGAGUACGACUCGAAUCCUCCAAUGAAGUUUGUUGGGCCUGCCAUUAGCGGAUAGCCAUCUCUGCCCUGCCUCUCAUUGCUGAAC
This 408-nucleotide long non-coding RNA is filed under the name Vitis vinifera (wine grape). Its description in RNAcentral is "long non-coding RNA (VVIN_LNC002432)". Lineage: Eukaryota; Viridiplantae; Streptophyta; Magnoliopsida; Vitales; Vitaceae. The record is from RNAcentral.